AACGAACGCUGGCGGCAUGCCUAACACAUGCAAGUCGAACGAGACCUUCGGGUCUAGUGGCGCGAGGGUGCGUAAAGCGUGGGAACAUGCCCUUAGGUUCGGAAUAACACCCCGAAAGGAGUGCUAAUACCGGGUAAUGACUUCGGACCAGAGAUUUAUCGGCUUUGGAUGGGCCCGCGUUGGAUUAGCUAGUUGGUAGGGUAAAAGCCUACCAAGGCGACGAUCCAUAGCUGGUCUGAGAGGAUGACCAGCCACACUGGGACUGAGACACGGCCCAGACUCCUACGGGAGGCAGCAGUAGGGAAUAUUGGACAAUGGGCGAAAGCCUGAUCCAGCAAUGCCGGGUGAGUGAUGAAUGCCUUAGGGUUGUAAAGCUCUUUUACCCGGGAUGAUAAUGACAGUACCGGGAGAAUAAGCUCCGGCUAACUCCGUG
This 433-nucleotide ribosomal RNA is filed under the name uncultured bacterium. RNAcentral's name for it is "partial 16S ribosomal RNA". It matches the Rfam family "Bacterial small subunit ribosomal RNA", at positions 29 to 507 of the family's 1533-position model. The record is from RNAcentral.